This 301-nucleotide ribosomal RNA is filed under the name uncultured bacterium. RNAcentral's name for it is "partial 16S ribosomal RNA". It matches the Rfam family "Bacterial small subunit ribosomal RNA", at positions 509 to 807 of the family's 1533-position model. The record is from RNAcentral.
CAGCCGCCACGGUAAUACAGAGGAUGCAAGCGUUAUCCGGAAUGAUUGGGCGUAAAGCGUCUGUAGGUGGCUUUUCAAGUCCGCCGUCAAAUCCCAGGGCUCAACCCUGGACAGGCGGUGGAAACUACCAAGCUGGAGUACGGUAGGGGCAGAGGGAAUUUCCGGUGUAGCAGUGAAAUGCGUAGAUAUGCGGAGGAACACCGAUGGCGAAGGCAGCCCCCUGGGCCAAUACUGACGCUCAUGCACGAAAGCGUGGGGAGCAAACAGGAUUAGAUACCCGGGUAGUCCCUGUCUCUUAUAC